RNAcentral lists this unclassified non-coding RNA (561 nucleotides) under Hevea brasiliensis (rubber tree). Lineage: Eukaryota; Viridiplantae; Streptophyta; Magnoliopsida; Malpighiales; Euphorbiaceae. The record is from RNAcentral.
GAGAGAGAGAGAGAGAGAGAGAGACGCAAGUGAAAUCAAUAGUUUUUGUUCAGGACUAGAAGGAUUUUGUUCCAAGGUUAUGUGAUGAAGACAUUGAUGAUGAUGAUGAAAAAUGUUUGAGAAGGAGAAAGUCCUCAACUUCAAAUUUUAUUGCAAGUUCUGUUUCUUGCAGUCAACAAAACCUGAGGAAUGAUAGGAAUAAGGUUAAGUUAUAAAAUCUUCAAUGACAAAUCUGGAAUAAGAACUCCUCAUAUGUAUUACUAAAAGCAAUUGCGAGCCGAGGAAUCUGGAGAAUUUGGCAAUGGAGGAAGAGAAUGUGGAGAAUAUGGCAGUCGAGGAUCUGAAGCCCAAAAUAGAAAACUCAAGAAGCUAGCCUUGUCAACUUGGAAAAAAUCUCUAUGCUGUACCUGACAGAAAUUUCCAUUCGACAGAUACCAAAAUCCAAAGCUAAAAAUCUUUAUUUCAUCAAAGUGCAAGUGCAUGUUUAACUCACGGAUUUUUAUUUUUUUUUCAAUAGGAAAAAAGUUUCCUUCAUAAUGAAGGAAAGGAAUUUCUGUGCCA